Molecule: transfer RNA, 94 nt
Filed under: Anaerolineae bacterium CG1_02_58_13
Lineage: Bacteria; Bacillati; Chloroflexota; Anaerolineae
Also listed under: 2 other names
Description: tRNA-Ser
Rfam family: tRNA
About the family: Transfer RNA (tRNA) molecules are approximately 80 nucleotides in length.
Source: RNAcentral
GGGGAGGUGCCAGAGUGGCCGAUUGGGCUCGCCUGCUAAGUGAGUGCUGGGGCUUAAACCUCAGCCGAGGGUUCGAAUCCCUCCCUCCCCGCCA